UGAGGAAUAUUGCGCAAUGGGGGCAACCCUGACGCAGCAACGCCGCGUGAGUGAGGAAGGUUUUCGGACCGUAAAGCUCUGUCGAGCGGGAAGAAAUGUAUCGUGGCUAAUAUCCAUGAUAUUUGACGGUACCGCUAAAGGAAGCACCGGCUAACUCCGUGCCAGCAGCCGCGGUAAUACGGGGGGUGCGAGCGUUGUUCGGAAUUAUUGGGCGUAAAGAGCGUGUAGGCGGCUGAAUAAGUCAGAUGUGAAAUCCCUGGGCUUAACCCAGGACGUGCAUCUGAAACUGUUCAGCUUGAGUAAGGGAGAGGAAAGUGGAAUUCCUGGUGUAGAGGUGAAAUUCGUAGAUAUCAGGAGGAACACCGGUGGCGAAGGCGACUUUCUGGCCCUAUACUGACGCUGAGACGCGAGAGCGUGGGUAGCAAACA
This 428-nucleotide ribosomal RNA is filed under the name uncultured prokaryote. RNAcentral's name for it is "bacterial SSU rRNA". It matches the Rfam family "Bacterial small subunit ribosomal RNA", at positions 355 to 774 of the family's 1533-position model. The record is from RNAcentral.